Molecule: non-coding RNA, 960 nt
Filed under: Parazacco spilurus
Lineage: Eukaryota; Metazoa; Chordata; Actinopteri; Cypriniformes; Xenocyprididae
Description: 12S ribosomal RNA
Rfam family: Bacterial small subunit ribosomal RNA
Source: RNAcentral
UAAAGGCAUGGUCCCGACCUUAUUAUCAGCUUUAACCCAACUUACACAUGCAAGUCUCCGCAGCCCCGUGAGUAAGCCCUCAGUCCCCCCCCCUGGGGACAAGGAGCGGGCAUCAGGCACAAAUUUUUAGCCCAAGACGCCUGGCCAAGCCACACCCCCAAGGGAAUCCAGCAGUGAUAAACAUUAAGCCAUAAGUGAAAACUUGACUCAGUCAGGGCUAAGAGGGCCGGUAAAACUCGUGCCAGCCACCGCGGUUAAACGAGAGGCCCAAGUUGAUAACAUUACGGCGUAAAGGGUGGUUAUGGAAAGCAACAAAAUAAAGCCAAAUGGCCCUUUGGCCGUCAUACGCUUCUAGGUGUCCGAAGCCCAAUCACACGAAAGUAGCUUUAAUAAAGCCCAUCUGACCCCACGAAAGCUGAGAAACAAACUGGGAUUAGAUACCCCACUAUGCUCAGCCAUAAACCCAGACAUCCAACUACAAUAAGACGUUCGCCCGGGUACUACGAGCAUCAGCUUGAAACCCAAAGGACCUGACGGUGCCUUAGACCCCCCUAGAGGAGCCUGUUCUAGAACCGAUAACCCCCGUUAAACCUCACCAAUUCUAGCCAUCCCAGCCUAUAUACCGCCGUCGUCAGCUUACCCUGUGAAGGGUAUAAAAGUAAGCAAAAUGGGCACAACCCAGAACGUCAGGUCGAGGUGUAGCGUACGAAUUGGAAAGAAAUGGGCUACAUUUUCUAUUAUAGAAUACUACGAACAUGCAACAUGAAAUAGUGCUUGAAGGAGGAUUUAGUAGUAAAAAGGAAGCAGAGUGUCCUUUUGAACCCGGCUCUGAGGCGCGUACACACCGCCCGUCACUCUCCCCUGUCAAAACGCAGUAAAAAUUCCUAAUGCCAAAGCACUGACAAGGGGAGGCAAGUCGUAACAUGGUAAGUGUACCGGAAGGUGCACUUGGAUUAAACC